AGGGAUAUGUCUCAGCGGUAGAGCGCGGGUGCUUAGCAUGCACGAGGCUCUGGGUUCAAUCCCCAGUACCUCCA
Molecule: transfer RNA, 74 nt
Filed under: Camelus bactrianus (Bactrian camel)
Lineage: Eukaryota; Metazoa; Chordata; Mammalia; Artiodactyla; Camelidae
Also listed under: 2 other names
Rfam family: tRNA
About the family: Transfer RNA (tRNA) molecules are approximately 80 nucleotides in length.
Source: Rfam by way of RNAcentral